Mus musculus (house mouse) is the source of this 3516-nucleotide long non-coding RNA. RefSeq annotates it as predicted gene, 41693. The transcript has 2 exons. The record is from RefSeq and is a predicted model, not a curated record. NCBI's taxonomy places the organism in Eukaryota, Metazoa, Chordata, Mammalia, Rodentia, Muridae.
UUAGCAGUGACUGGGAAACCCUGCAUUGAGUCCUGGACAUUGAAUACAAGCUUAGCCUGCAAUCCCAGCACUCCGGAGGUGGAGGCAAAAAGUUCAAGAAAUUCAAGGAUAUUCUCUGCUAGUCUGGGUUACAAGAGUCACUGAAUUUACCUAUAUACAUGCAUGCAUGCAUGCAUGCAUACAUACAUACAUACAUACAUACAUACAUACAUACAUACUUGUCUUGAGCUAGCCCGGAGUAGGGCCACAUAGUUUGUUAAAUAGCCUUGAUUGCUUGUAGUAGCAGCUGACUCCUUGCUGAGGACCAAAGCCUUCUAUGAUAGGCUUCAGUUAGAGCGACAGGGAAUGGUUACUUCGGGUUGAUCAAAGCUAGGCUAGAACAAGGGAGUAAGGUCCACAAGUCAUCAUGCUUUAUGAGGCUGAGGUAGGUGGUCCUGGGAUAGUCCUCCCACACAAAGGUCCUGUUUCCUGCCUCAAGAUGUUGCACUGCCUCCUGGUUAUUAUUAAUCUGCCCUGUGUUCUUGGCCUUGUGCUGAAUAUGGGGAUCCCGAGGUGAAUGUUUCCGCAGUGAGAGAGGCAGCCCUGGGUAAUAAGUCCCUGAGGGGUGGCUAUUCCGAGCAAGCCCAGAACAGGCAAGCUUGUGUGGAGGCGUGUGCGUCUCAGGACGCCCUGGAGGAACUUUGUAGCUCCUGAUUUCCCGACUCCUCGACCCUGGCCCAGUGGAAGCUGGGCGAGGCAGGUUGCGGGCCCUCAAGCAGCCGAAGCAGGGAGGCUGAACGCGCUGGCCAGGCCCUUGGUGGGCUGUUCAGGGUGCGCGCCGAGGGGGUGGGAACGCGGAGCGUGUGAGUCACCGUUUCUGGGCCAGGCAGGCGGCGACUGCGGAGCGGGGGGCGCAUUCCUGGCUGGCAGGGCGGCCGGCACUAAUGUCUUUCCCACAUGGCCCCGAGUUCCCCGCUCGGCACGAUCACACGGGCAAGACGCUCCCGCGGCCACCCCCGCCCCAGCUGCCUCCUUCCCACAGAACCGUGGAGGGGGAGGGCGGCGACGAGGCGAGUGCAACUGGGCCUCCCGAGGUGGCCGGGGCUCUCGCACGGUGCCAGGCACACUGGGAGCCACGGAGGCCGGGACUCCCAUGGAUUCUUGGCCAGUCUCAGUCCACCCUUUCCCCGCCUGCACACAGCGGGGUGUCGGAGAAGCACUGGCGGCGAGAUCCCCAGUAACUUCGCCCCCUGAGACUGCCGCUGCCGUCACCUCCUCCUCUUCUUCCCGUCCUGUCCUCUGGGCCAAGCUCUAAGCUAGGGCUGUUAAGCUGAAACGCAUCCGGAAGGGUCUGGGGAGGGUGGUUCCUGGAAGAGGCCACACCCAGUGCCUCAUUCCUUGGGUUGGAGGACAGCCCUUGCCAAGGCCAAAGGGACUGUGAGCACUGCUUCCCACGCAGUUCUUGUCCCUGGGCCAGGCCCCUAGGGGGAAACUGAGGCUGCGAGGGCGGCCCACCCAGAGCUCCCUGUCUGCUGGGGGAAGUUGGCGGUUGUCCCUCCAGCUGGGCUCAGAAGCGCUAAUGAGAGUUAAAUGUAGGGCGUGAGUCACCUCGGAAAGGGGGAUGGGACCACCCUCAGAUGUGAAGGGUGAAUAGCGUUUGCCAUACUGCUAAUCCCCACCCCUAAACCCCACUUCCCCCUACACCACAUCCCUUAGCCCUUGGGAAGGUAACUCUGUCAUCCUGGGCCAGCCUUCCCGAAAAGAUGGCUAUCUCAGAAGUAUGGGCUGUGGGGCCAUAGAGAGACUCCACAUCUAGCACCUGGGAUCGCAGGACUGUACUUGAUCCAAAUGCUAAGGAGCUGCAGAAUCCCAGAAAGGUCUCUGCUGCCCUGGCAAGCCCAAUUCAACAUCAUUAGCUCUAGACGGGCCUGCCGGCUGGUCCCAUAUCCUGGAGCUGGCCCCAAUUGCUUUGCUUCCUGAAAUUGACAUCCAUACCUAAAUCCUGGCUAAAAGGUGGGGUGCACUUGGCCAUGGUCUUCCUCUUGGAAGACUGGCCUUCUUGAGCGCCAGUCAGGGCUGGUAAUGCUGUAAAUUGCCCAAAUGGAGAGGAAAGAGUUCAACUAAGGCUGAAAGUGGAUGACAGCAUCAGGUGGGCCCAUGGAGACAUCCAAGGGCCCCUCACCACACCUUGCAACUUGGGAGCCUUCCUACAGCAUCGCCAUAUAGAGGCUCUGGAUGUUGUCUAACAGCUGAGCUCUGAGAGGUAGUAUGUCGUCCUUAGCUUGCUGGUGCAAGAGUCAUGCAAGGUCCAGGGUCUGGCCAUGAGACUGAGGUAGGUUGUCACUGAUAGGUACUGAGUGCCUCCACAUGUAUGUACGUAAUCAUACAUGCACAUAUCAUACACACAUGCACGCAUGCAUACAUGCAUAUACACAAUGGCUUACAUACACACCCAUAUGUACUGAGAUUGCUGGCAUGCCCAUAUCUAGCUCUCACUUCCAUAUGUCAUCACUCUCAGGGGAGGAGAACACAGCCCAUCUCAUGUGAAAUUAUAAUCUACUUUGGAACUAUGAAGGGAAGUCCCAGAAAAGGGACUUUCCUCACUCCAGCUGCCUUGGGCUCUAGGGGGGUUCUUCCUACCUCUGAUUCUGGGCUACAUUGAUUGGUUCUGAAAUAGACAUGUGACUUGGGUCUAGCCAAUCAGGCUGAAUCCCAAGGCUUUAAUUGAGGGACUCCUCUGAUUUAGCAGUUGGGGAUUUUGGGGACCACUGCCUUGAUUUAUUUUAUUUUAUUUUUUUCCAGACAGGAUUUCAUGCUCCCCAAACUGUCCUCAAACUUGAUAUAUAGCCAAGGAUGUCCUUGAAACACUCAUCUAUUUGACUCUGCCCAACUCAUGCUACCAUCGUGGGCGCGAGGAACACAUCAGGAUUCACCAUCAGCACCUUGGAAGAGCUCUGUCCAACAAGCCAGCAAAGAAAGCUGACCUUGGGCUGGUGUAGAUGAGUGGGUAGUGCACUUGCAUAAGGCUUUAGGGAUUGCAUCUGCAGUACCUUAAGAAAUAUUAUCGAGUCUUGGAGUAACCCAGUUGGUUGGCAUUUUGUUUGAGCUAUCUGUGCUGCGGUUCUGCAUUUGCAGUCUGAGGAUCUGCCAAGAUAGUACAGGCUGUGCCCAGUUCUCCCUCUAAGACUUUAUCCAUGUAUCUCUGCCUGGAAGUGGGCUGCCUUUCUCUCAUUCUACCCUGACCAGCCCAACAUGGGUGUGGGAGGGCAGCUUGUCAGACCUUCUCCAGGAAGCUCACUGCCCUCUGUUCCUUCCUUCUCUCUGGGCUACACUCUCAGAGAGUCACCUGGAACGUCUCACACAAGCCUGACACUCCGUGUCUAUGCCAACUUUGCUGACUUUGCUUUCUGUCCCAGCACCCAGAAGAAUUAGGAAGAUCAUGUACAAGUUCCAGAGCAGAAUGGGCUAUAGAGUAAGACACUGUCCUCAAGAUAAAUAAAUAAAUGUCCCUUUUUGGAGGGCCUUCUACAUCAGAGA